UACGUAGGCAGCGAGCGUUGUUCGGAAUUACUGGGCGUAAAGUGUGCGCAGGCGGCAGAGCAAGUCGAGUGUGAAAGCCCCGGGCUUAACUUGGGAAUUGCGCUCGAAACUACUUUGCUGGAGUGUGGCAGAGGAAGGUGGAAUUCCACGUGUAGCGGUGAAAUGCGUAGAGAUGUGGAGGAACACCAAUGGCGAAGGCAGCCUUCUGGGCCAACACUGACGCUCAUGCACGAAAGCGUGGGGAGCAAACAGG
Molecule: ribosomal RNA, 253 nt
Filed under: uncultured bacterium
Lineage: Bacteria
Description: partial 16S ribosomal RNA
Rfam family: Bacterial small subunit ribosomal RNA
Source: RNAcentral